CAUCCCCCUGCUGCUGCUUACAUAAGAGGCUAAUAAAUAAAAUAGAAACACAAUACCCACUCUCACCGCAGGAUCCUCAAACUCUCACACAUGACACUGGCCCGGAGACUGCAGUGAAGGUCUUCGCACUGACAUUUUCCCUUACGCACAGGCAGGUGUGUAUUAUCCGCACACAUAUUCAAACAAACACUGUAACAAUGGAGUUUGAUGUGCUUUCUUUCUUUCUUUUUUUUUUUUUUUUUUCUUGUGACCUCUAGCGAUUUGGGUCAGCAUGUUCUGCUGAAACAUUCUGACUUAAUCUGUAAACAACGGGUUACCUUCAGCUGUGAGCUGCUCUGCACACAGAUUACACUUGAGCUUUUCCAAAAACAGACACAAAAAAAGUAAGGUGACCCUCUGUGGUACAGCUUCUCAGGAGCCUGGGCCGCUCUUCUACCUCAUUAAUUAAACACAAUAAAGAGUUAGGCCUCCAAGUUUUCCAUCAAGACCUGUAUUAGUAUCUACUUACUAUACAUCUUGGUCCUUUACCGUUAGUGUAAUGCUUUAAAUUUUCCUCCCCUUAAAAUGAAUUCACUAGACUCAGUUUGUCAGCACUGUAAGCCUUGCUUUAACUGGACACACAGUAACGUCAUGAUUCAGAUAAGGUUCAGAUGACUAUUAUGAAGGUAGAUCAAGCAACGUCACUGAUCACGUCUGUUGAGAUGAUGAUUCUUUCACUUAUUAGUUGAAAAUAGUCAAUUUUGUCAUGCCCCAUUAAGUAACAUACCUUUUCUCACUUUAUAAACGAUGUGAACACACCACUCAACAGGCAUAAGGUGCGACUGUUUGCUUGGAUAAAAGUCUUUUUUUUCUGUGAAAUCUGCUGAUUCACUGCCCUUAAUCUUGCUGCCUUAUGUCCAUUGUUCAGUGUCCUUUUAAGACCCAACCUCCUCAAACAACUGUUUGUCACUUUAUACUUGUUUUCUCAAUACUUUUCAGCUGUGAAAAAUGAACUUUCAGCACCACCACACCUUUUUUAAAAGCCACAGUUUCUUUCUUACUUGAAGAAUAUGAUCAUCUUUUAAAUCCCUUUUAAAAACACACUUUUACUCCUUGGCUUUUGAUACUUUUUAGUGUUAUUUUGUUUUUUAUCAUUUUAGCACUUGCUGUGAGCCUCCUUAUUUAUUUACUUAUUUAUCCCCUUGCAUUAAUGUAUUUCUGCUCGCCUUAUCUUGUUC
Non-coding RNA from Xyrichtys novacula (pearly razorfish), 1217 nucleotides. Lineage: Eukaryota; Metazoa; Chordata; Actinopteri; Labriformes; Labridae. The record is from the annotation of a GenBank genome assembly.